Long non-coding RNA from Hemiscyllium ocellatum (epaulette shark), 1251 nucleotides. RefSeq lists it as uncharacterized. Lineage: Eukaryota; Metazoa; Chordata; Chondrichthyes; Orectolobiformes; Hemiscylliidae. The record is from RefSeq and is a predicted model, not a curated record. The transcript has 6 exons.
AUGUCUUGUGAUGCGGUGAAAAUAUCCCGAAUCUUGACCGGGAGGCCUGGGUUCAAUUCACAGCGGGUGCAGGAUGAGGCUGUCACUGGCUCGGCCAGCAUUUAUUGCUGCGUUUACCCAGAGGGCAGUUAAGAGUCAACUGCGUUGCUAUAGGUCUGGAGUCCCAUGCAGACCAGACCAGAUCCCAGUGAUUAAUGCCAAAGCCCCAUUGCCUGGGGAGAAGGUGAUGUUUGACUUCCUGUACAGCUGCAGUUCAUGUGGUGAAGGUGCUCCCACAAUGUGGUUGGGGAUCUGCACUGGAACCCUUCUGUUUGCGGGAUAAAUAUAUAUAAGUGACAUGGAUUGAAAUCUAAUUUGCUUUGAUGGAGAUGUGUUGAAAAUGUUUGCAGUUACUGAUCUGCUGAACCAAAAUGACCCCUUUUAAACUGAUGGUUGGACUAGAAACCUUUUAGAAAACUUGAAAAUAUUCGGUAAGGUCACUAAUAACAGAAUGUAUCUAAUUCCACUCAAUCAAUAUUCCUUGGAAAAUAUUUGAAAAUAUUGCAGUCAUAAGGAUGAAAUAUAAGAAGUAAUUAUAUUCAUUGAUUUUGUUUUGUUCUGAAGAGCUUAGUUCGGACAACACAUAGAACUUGAUGCUCCAGUGCUACAAAUAUUAGAAAAUAAUAUUGUUCUUCUUCAGUAAAAUAAACAAAUGCCACUUGCUAUUAUUUAUCAUUUUUUAGUUAUUGAUCUGUUUGUGAAUUGUGUGAAAUGUUUAGUUUUCCACUCACCUAUUUAUGUUGAAUGUAAGAUUGAAAUGCUGUGAAAAUAUCAGGGUGUGUUCGUUUGAAAAUUGACUUUACAUAUUUCUCAAUUACCUCAUUUAUUGCAUGAUGUCUUAAGUGUGUUUUGCUCAGCAAUUCUAGUAAAUAUUUAGAAAUGUCUAAUCUUAAAUAAGAUCCUUCACACCCAAAUAUCAGUCUGUUCCUAAUUCAUGUAAAUACCUUUAUUUUAUUGAAAUCAAUGUUAACACAAAACAUUGCACAUAAAGCAAUACAAAGGUCCUUAUCACCACCUGAUUACUGAGUAAAUACCUUAUUGUUCCUGAGACUAAUAACAACAGUAAGCAUUUGUCUACUAUUCCCUGCAGUAAGUGCAAUUGAUAUCUUAUGUUUCAGUCCAGUCAUCAAUGAUGAUUUAUAUUGUUUCAACCAAUAAUUCUACUUUAUCAUGGACAUUGACUGUAAUUCAAGAACAUUGGGAACAAACGUU